This 315-nucleotide long non-coding RNA is filed under the name Parus major (Great Tit). RNAcentral's name for it is "lncRNA (ENSPMJG00000012234.1)". The record is from RNAcentral. Lineage: Eukaryota; Metazoa; Chordata; Aves; Passeriformes; Paridae.
GCUCACCUCGCUGGGCGCUGAUAAAAUGCCUGGGCCGGGUGAUCUGCUGAGCAGCCCUGCAGAAAAACCUGCAGAGCUUGGGAGCCUGAUCUGCCAGCGACCAGCCCGGGGCUCCAGAGCACAGCAAGGUGAGCAACUUGCAGUGAUACACUUGGGAGAGUCCUCUUGAUGGAUUUGAACUGAAUAUAAAACCCUGGACAUCUUCUGAGCAGUGCUUUAUGACACCCCCCUGCAUUUUGUACAUAGACCAGGAAAGACAGCAAGGUGGUGAGUCCCAUUUUCAGGUGUAUCCAUGUGCUACAGAUCAGUGUGAGA